GUUGAACAUUGUAAUUGUAGAAAAAUAUGAACAUUACACAAAAGAUUCCUCCGUGUUGUGCUGCGCCCUUCCCCCACUCUCUCUCUCCUCCACACACCGCAACCGCGGGGAAAGAAACGCAACGUCCAGUUCGAUCCAAUAGCAAAGCAGCUCUCUUUCCUCUACAAUUCAUCUCUCAACCAAAUUUCUAAAUCUGGGCCUUCUAAAUUCGCUCUGGAAGAUCCACAUUCCCAUUCCCAUUCCUCAUUUAUCCACAUUUCCACAAACAAGACGGUGGCGAGGCGGUGGAGAAGAAAAGGGAACAAACAAAACAAUGCAUUCCAUAAAAGAAAGAGUUUCAGAGACCCUUUCGCGUCUCUUUUCUGAUUCUCCAAUUCAAACUGCAGACAAUCAGCCUCAGCCCCAGCCUCAGGCUGGUCCAGAGACAAAGGAUGGAAAAACUUUAACUUCUGUACUUUCUUUUGUGCUCCCCUCGUCAAGGUUUGAUAGAUUGAAAUCAUUCAAUGAUCAACAUGAUAAUACACCAAGGGUCCACUCACCUUCUUUUACGUGGAGAAGUAGAAGUUUUAAAUUGGAAGAUAAACCUUUGGAGAGAUUUGAUGAUUAUGACUUUGACGAUGAUUACAAAGACAUCCCAGAUUUUCAUGGAGAGGAUGAAUUCAGUAGAAGCACUUUUUAUAAUGCACAAGGAGAAAUCCUUGAGCCCAAUUCUGCAAGAAGCAUUGCUAGUGGCUUUGAAGAUUUUGAGGAUGCCCGUGAUGGAGUUGACUAUGAAGUCAUGCCUAAUCUCAUAAAUGAGUCUCUUUUUGUUACUCCUGACUUGUACGAGUUUCUCCAAGCAUCCCUUCCUAAUAUAGUCAAAGGUUGUCAGUGGAUGCUGUUGUACAGCACGGAUAGAGAUGGUAUAUCACUCCGGACACUCAUUCACAAGAGCGCUGAUACUUCUGGUCCUUGUUUGCUAAUUACUGGUGAUAAGGAAGGUGCCGUCUUUGGUGGACUGCUUGAGGCACCAUUGACGCCUACUGCAAAGCCAAAAUAUCAGGGGACAAAUCAAGCAUUUGUGUUUACAACUUUAUAUGGUGAGCCCCGGAUGUUUAGACCAACUGGUGCCAAUAGAUAUUUCUUUUUGUGUAUGUACGACCAACUUGCCUUUGGAGGGGGUGAAAAUUUCGCAUUAAGUGUUGAUGGAGAUCUGUUGACUGGCAGCAGUGGGCCUUGUGAGACAUUUGGAAACUUAUGCUUAGCCAAUAAUCAAGAGUUUCAGUUAAGGAAUGUUGAGCUUUGGGGAUUUACACAUGCUUCUCGAUAUCUUGUCUGAUUCCUCAUCUCAUUAUCUCAACAAUUGGUAUGCUGUGAACCUCGGAUCACAUAGUAAGGCUCGGUGAACGUCACUUGCAGGUUAUAAUUUGAAACAUCAUUGGCAUGGUGCACCUUAUAAUUUGCCUAUGGUUCCUACAAUUAUAGAGAUGAAUAUUCAUCACCAAUAUGAAGCUGUGUUUUGCGGUAUAUUUUGCAUUGCCCCACCCAUAUACGUUCGUUCGGCUGGUUUGUAUUUAUUUAUUUAUUGGCUAAAAUAUAGAAAACAGAUCAUUCUUUGUUUUUCAGCUUCCUAUGAGAAAUUAUUUCCCCCUAUAUUGCUGUACAUGAUUUACAUUCAAGGUUACGAAAUACUGUUUUGUAAGAACUA
This is an RNA transcript of Ipomoea triloba (trilobed morning glory), 1687 nucleotides long. It is a transcript of the gene named TLD domain-containing protein 2, with no coding region annotated. The record is from RefSeq and is a predicted model, not a curated record. Lineage: Eukaryota; Viridiplantae; Streptophyta; Magnoliopsida; Solanales; Convolvulaceae. The transcript is spliced from 9 exons.